Molecule: ribosomal RNA, 468 nt
Filed under: uncultured bacterium
Lineage: Bacteria
Description: partial 16S ribosomal RNA
Rfam family: Bacterial small subunit ribosomal RNA
Source: RNAcentral
GACGAACGCUGGCGGCGUGCUUAACACAUGCAAGUCGAACGGAAAGGCCCUGCUUUUGUGGGGUGCUCGAGUGGCGAACGGGUGAGUAACACGUGAGUAACCUGCCCUUGACUUUGGGAUAACUUCAGGAAACUGGGGCUAAUACCGGAUAGGAGCUCCUGCUGCAUGGUGGGGGUUGGAAAGUUUCGGCGGUUGGGGAUGGACUCGCGGCUUAUCAGCUUGUUGGUGGGGUAGUGGCUUACCAAGGCUUUGACGGGUAGCCGGCCUGAGAGGGUGACCGGCCACAUUGGGACUGAGAUACGGCCCAGACUCCUACGGGAGGCAGCAGUGGGGAAUAUUGCACAAUGGGCGGAAGCCUGAUGCAGCAACGCCGCGUGCAGGAUGACGGCCUUCGGGCUGUAAACCGCUUUCGCCUGUGACGAAGCGUGAGUGACGGUAAUGGGUAAAGAAGCACCGGCUAACUACGUG